CUUGGUCAGGAUGAACGCUAGCGACAGGCCUAACACAUGCAAGUCGAGGGGCAGCACAAGGAGCAAUCUGAGGUGGCGACCGGCGCACGGGUGAGUAACACGUAUGCAACCUGCCUGUAAGCGGGGAAUAACCCGUUGAAAGACGGACUAAUACCGCAUAAUACUAAAUUACUGCAUGGUAAUUUAUUUAAACAUUUAUGGCUUACAGAUGGGCAUGCGCAUGAUUAGCUAGUUGGAGAGGUAACGGCUCCCCAAGGCAACGAUCAUUAGGGGUUCUGAGAGGAAGGUCCCCCACACUGGUACUGAGACACGGACCAGACUCCUACGGGAGGCAGCAGUGAGGAAUAUUGGUCAAUGGACGAGAGUCUGAACCAGCCAAGUCGCGUGCAGGAAGAAUGUUCCCUAUGGAUUGUAAACUGCUUUUGCAGGGGAAUAAAGUGCAUCACGUGUGAUGUUUUGUAUGUACUCUGCGAAUAAGGAUCGGCUAACUCCGUGCCAGCCGCCGC
RNAcentral lists this ribosomal RNA (506 nucleotides) under uncultured bacterium. Its description in RNAcentral is "bacterial SSU rRNA". It matches the Rfam family "Bacterial small subunit ribosomal RNA", at positions 19 to 518 of the family's 1533-position model. The record is from RNAcentral.